ACAGAAGUGAUUCUACAGACAAAAUUUUUAUAAGUGUGCCUGCCCCAGCCGAGAAAGUAAGAAGAUGCGAUUGGCUAACAGCCUGUGGACUUGGUCAGAACGACUUAAGCCAAAAAAGUCAUCUUUACGUCUGUGAAGACCAUUUCAAAAUGGAGGUUGAUUGCCUAAACUUAGCUGACUACAAAAGUGGCUGUAGAAAAAAAAUGUCGAUGAACAAGAAUGUCAUACCUCACAGGUUUCUUAGGCAAGAAGAUUCACACUCAACUGCUGUUGUGGUUGAAGAGGCAGCGAAGACAAUAGCCAGUGUAUCAAAACAAACUAAUGGGAUGUUUUCACAAGUGGCUUAUGGUUUUUAAUCCUCAUUGACUAAAGAAGUUCCCCAAUCAGCUGGCGUUGUGGCUGAAGAUGCAGUGAAGACAAAAGCCAGUAUAGCAAAACAAACUGAUGACUUCUUUUCACAAGCAACUUGUGAUGUAGACAGUUCAUGGGAAAAAGAAUCUGCAUUGACUGAAGCUUUUUCCUGGCCAACUAUCAUAGGCACAUCAGUUAACAAGGCUGAUAAGGCAGUAGCAACAGUCCCUAUUUGUUUGAAAAAUGUUGGUGUAAACACUGACAGUACCUUUGGGACCGAUAUGACAUCUUGCC
Molecule: long non-coding RNA, 645 nt
Organism: Daphnia magna
Lineage: Eukaryota; Metazoa; Arthropoda; Branchiopoda; Diplostraca; Daphniidae
Exons: 5
Source: RefSeq, a predicted model, not a curated record